CCUCCAGCACAAAGUUCCAUCACAAGGUGCACUGACUGCCUAUCUUCAUAAGCACCCUUGAAUUCCACAAUAUUUGGCUGCCCACUCAAAUGCUGCAUAAUCUGAAUUUCCCUCUUCAUAUCCUCCCUAUCAUUCUUACUUACAAGCUUCCUCUUAAGUAUGGACUUGCAAGCAUAAGGGUUCCCAGUUGAAAUCUCGGUACAAUAGUAAGUCACUCCAAAUUGACCCCUACCCAAUUUUUUCCCAAGUGUAUAGAGUUUUCGAAUAUCCUCAAACGGCUUCCCCAAUAUGUUAUUCAAAUUGGGUCCAUGCAUUUGGUCUUGGGGCUGUCCAGGCUGCACAGUAACAGGAACAAGGUGGGCCUUUUGCUGGGGCUGAGGUUGUGGCUUUGGCGGUGGCCGACGCUGAUAUGGCCUUUCUUGCCGGGGUUGUGGCUGAUAUGGCCUUUCAGGCUGGGUAUACUUCUUGCUAAAACAACCACCCAUUUCUACACUUUAUUCAACAAGAUUGAAAUUAGAGCACUUCAAUUCCUCAACAAAUUACAACAAAUCAAGAACUUGGGGUUUAAGUAAAAAAAUUGUAACUUUGACAAGAUUGAAUUUUGGGAAACUUCAAUUCCUCAACAAGUUAAAAUAAAUGAAGAACUUAAGGUUUAAAGAGCAAAAGGUUUCAACUUUAACAAGAUUGAAUUUUAGGUACUUCAAUUCCGCAAAAAGUUACAAUAAAUCAAGAACAUAAGGUUUAAAGAGCAAAAGGUUUCAACUUUACCAAGAUUGAGUUUUAGGUACUUCAGUUCCUCAAAAAGUUACAACAAACAAGAACAUAAAGUUUAAAGAGCAAAAGGUUCCAACUUUAACAAGAUUGACUUUUAGGUACUUCAAUUCCUCAAAAAGUUACAACAAAUCAAGAACAUAAGGCUUAAAGAGCAAAAGGUUUCAACUUUAACAAGAUUGAAUUUUAGGCACAAUAAGGUUUAAAGAGCAAAAGGUUCCAACUUUAACAAAAUUGAAUUUUAGGCACUUCAAUUCCUCAAAAAGUUACAACAAAUCAAGAACAUAAGGUUUAAAGAGCAAACGGCUCCAACUUUAACAAGAUUGAAUUCUAGGCACUUCAAUUCCUCAAAAAGUUACAACAAAUCAAGAACAUAAGGUUUAAAGAGCAAAAGGUUUCAACUUUNUCUCCGAGUAAUAUGAGCGGGCAAUAAUCCUGUCAAGCAACUGUCCUCCAGCACAAAGUUCCAUCACAAGGUGCACUGACUGCCUAUCUUCAUAAGCACCCUUGAAUUCCACAAUAUUUGGCUGCCCACUCAAAUGCUGCAUAAUCUGAAUUUCCCUCUUCAUAUCCUCCCUAUCAUUCUUACUUACAAGCUUCCUCUUAAGUAUGGACUUGCAAGCAUAAGGGUUCCCAGUUGAAAUCUCGGUACAAUAGUAAGUCACUCCAAAUUGACCCCUACCCAAUU
Molecule: long non-coding RNA, 1459 nt
Filed under: Solanum pimpinellifolium
Lineage: Eukaryota; Viridiplantae; Streptophyta; Magnoliopsida; Solanales; Solanaceae
Description: long non-coding RNA (SPIM_LNC000063)
Source: RNAcentral